GAUGAACGCUAGCGGCAGGCUUAAUACAUGCAAGUCGUGGGGCAGCAUGAGUAGCAAUACUUGAUGGCGACCGGCAAACGGGUGAGGAACACGUACACAACCUUCCUUCAAGCGGGGAAUAGCCCAGAGAAAUUUGGAUUAAUACCCCAUAAUAUAUUUGAUAAGGCAUCUUAUUAAUAUUAAAGCUUCGGCACUUGAUGAUGGGUGUGCGGCUGAUUAGAUAGUUGGCGGGGUAACGGCCCACCAAGUCUACGAUCAGUAGCUGAUGUGAGAGCAUGAUCAGCCACACGGGCACUGAGACACGGGCCCGACUCCUACGGGAGGCAGCAGUAAGGAAUAUUGGACAAUGGACGAAAGUCUGAUCCAGCCAUGCCGCGUGAAGGAUUAAGGUCCCUCUGGAUUGUAAACUUCUUUUAUAUGGGACGAAAAAAGGGCAUUCUUGUUCACUUGACGGUACCAUAUGAAUAAGCACCGGCUAACUCCGUGCCAG
RNAcentral lists this ribosomal RNA (490 nucleotides) under uncultured bacterium. RNAcentral's name for it is "bacterial SSU rRNA". It matches the Rfam family "Bacterial small subunit ribosomal RNA", at positions 28 to 511 of the family's 1533-position model. The record is from RNAcentral.